UUAAGCGACUAAGCGUACACGGUGGAUGCCCUGGCAGUCAGAGGCGAUGAAGGACGUGCUAAUCUGCGAAAAGCGUCGGUAAGGUGAUAUGAACCGUUAUAACCGGCGAUGUCCGAAUGGGGAAACCCAGUGCAAUUCGUUGCACUAUCGUUAACUGAAUACAUAGGUUAACGAGGCGAACCGGGGGAACUGAAACAUCUAAGUACCCCGAGGAAAAGAAAUCAACCGAGAUUCCCCCAGUAGCGGCGAGCGAACGGGGAGCAGCCCAGAGUCUGAAUCAGCUUGUGUGUUAGUGGAACGGUCUGGAAAGUCCGACGGUACAGGGUGAUAGUCCCGUACACCAAAAUGCACAGGCUGUGAACUCGAAGAGUAGGGCGGGACACGUGGUAUCCUGUCUGAAUAUGGGGGGACCAUCCUCCAAGGCUAAAUACUCCUGACUGACCGAUAGUGAACCAGUACCGUGAGGGAAAGGCGAAAAGAACCCCGGCGAGGGGAGUGAAAAAGAACCUGAAACCGUGUACGUACAAGCAGUGGGAGCACCUUCGGGUGUGACUGCGUACCUUUUGUAUAAUGGGUCAGCGACUUAUAUUCUGUAGCAAGGUUAACCGUAUAGGGGAGCCGCAGGGAAACCGAGUCUUAACUGGGCGUUAAGUUGCAGGGUAUAGACCCGAAACCCGGUGAUCUAGCCAUGGGCAGGUUGAAGGUUGGGUAACACUAACUGGAGGACCGAACCGACUAAUGUUGAAAAAUUAGCGGAUGACUUGUGGCUGGGGGUGAAAGGCCAAUCAAACCGGGAGAUAGCUGGUUCUCCCCGAAAGCUAUUUAGGUAGCGCCUCGUGAAUUCAUCUUCGGGGGUAGAGCACUGUUUCGGCUAGGGGGUCAUCCCGACUUACCAACCCGAUGCAAACUACGAAUACCGAAGAAUGUUAUCACGGGAGACACACGGCGGGUGCUAACGUCCGUCGUGAAGAGGGAAACAACCCAGACCGCCAGCUAAGGUCCCAAAGUCAUGGUUAAGUGGGAAACGAUGUGGGAAGGCACAGACAGCCAGGAUGUUGGCUUAGAAGCAGCCAUCAUUUAAAGAAAGCGUAAUAGCUCACUGGUCGAGUCGGCCUGCGCGGAAGAUGUAACGGGGCUAAACCAUGCACCGAAGCUGCGGCAGCGACACUAUGUGUUGUUGGGUAGGGGAGCGUUCUGUAAGCCGUUGAAGGUGUGCUGUGAGGCAUGCUGGAGGUAUCAGAAGUGCGAAUGCUGACAUAAGUAACGAUAAAGCGGGUGAAAAGCCCGCUCGCCGGAAGACCAAGGGUUCCUGUCCAACGUUAAUCGGGGCAGGGUGAGUCGACCCCUAAGGCGAGGCCGAAAGGCGUAGUCGAUGGGAAACAGGUUAAUAUUCCUGUACUUGGUGUUACUGCGAAGGGGGGACGGAGAAGGCUAUGUUAGCCGGGCGACGGUUGUCCCGGUUUAAGCAUGUAGGCGGAGGUUCCAGGUAAAUCCGGUACCUUAUUAACGCUGAGGUGUGAUGACGAGGCACUACGGUGCUGAAGUAACAAAUGCCCUGCUUCCAGGAAAAGCCUCUAAGCAUCAGGUAACAUCAAAUCGUACCCCAAACCGACACAGGUGGUCAGGUAGAGAAUACCAAGGCGCUUGAGAGAACUCGGGUGAAGGAACUAGGCAAAAUGGUGCCGUAACUUCGGGAGAAGGCACGCUGGUGUGUAGGUGAAGUCCCUGCGGAUGGAGCUGAGACCAGUCGAAGAUACCAGCUGGCUGCAACUGUUUAUUAAAAACACAGCACUGUGCAAACACGAAAGUGGACGUAUACGGUGUGACGCCUGCCCGGUGCCGGAAGGUUAAUUGAUGGGGUUAUCCGUAAGGAGAAGCUCUUGAUCGAAGCCCCGGUAAACGGCGGCCGUAACUAUAACGGUCCUAAGGUAGCGAAAUUCCUUGUCGGGUAAGUUCCGACCUGCACGAAUGGCGUAAUGAUGGCCAGGCUGUCUCCACCCGAGACUCAGUGAAAUUGAACUCGCUGUGAAGAUGCAGUGUACCCGCGGCAAGACGGAAAGACCCCGUGAACCUUUACUAUAGCUUGACACUGAACAUUGAGCCUUGAUGUGUAGGAUAGGUGGGAGGCUUUGAAGCGUGGACGCCAGUCUGCGUGGAGCCAACCUUGAAAUACCACCCUUUAAUGUUUGAUGUUCUAACGUUGGCCCCUUACCGGGGUUGCGGACAGUGUCUGGUGGGUAGUUUGACUGGGGCGGUCUCCUCCCAAAGCGUAACGGAGGAGCACGAAGGUUAGCUAAUCCUGGUCGGACAUCAGGAGGUUAGUGCAAUGGCAUAAGCUAGCUUGACUGCGAGCGUGACGGCGCGAGCAGGUGCGAAAGCAGGUCAUAGUGAUCCGGUGGUUCUGAAUGGAAGGGCCAUCGCUCAACGGAUAAAAGGUACUCCGGGGAUAACAGGCUGAUACCGCCCAAGAGUUCAUAUCGACGGCGGUGUUUGGCACCUCGAUGUCGGCUCAUCACAUCCUGGGGCUGAAGUAGGUCCCAAGGGUAUGGCUGUUCGCCAUUUAAAGUGGUACGCGAGCUGGGUUUAGAACGUCGUGAGACAGUUCGGUCCCUAUCUGCCGUGGGCGCUGGAGAAUUGAGGGGGGCUGCUCCUAGUACGAGAGGACCGGAGUGGACGCAUCACUGGUGUUCGGGUUGUCAUGCCAAUGGCACUGCCCGGUAGCUAAAUGCGGAAGAGAUAAGUGCUGAAAGCAUCUAAGCACGAAACUUGCCCCGAGAUGAGUUCUCCCUGAGACUUUAAGUCUCCUGAAGGAACGUUAAAGACGAUGACGUUGAUAGGCCGGGUGUGUAAGCGCAGCGAUGCGUUGAGCUAACCGGUACUAAUGAACCGUGAGGCUUAACCUU
RNAcentral lists this ribosomal RNA (2903 nucleotides) under metagenome. RNAcentral describes it as "bacterial LSU rRNA". It matches the Rfam family "Bacterial large subunit ribosomal RNA". The record is from RNAcentral.